CCUACGGGUGGCAGCAGUGAGGAAUAUUGGUCAAUGGGAGAGAUCCUGAACCAGCCAAGCCGCGUGAGGGAAGACGGCCCUAUGGGUUGUAAACCUCUUUUGUCGGAGAACAAAACCCGGGACGUGUCCCGGACUGCGUGUAUCCGAAGAAAAAGCAUCGGCCAACUCGGUGCCAGCCGCCGCGGUAAUACGGAGGAUGCGAGCGUUAUCCGGAUUAGUUGGGGUUAAAGGGUGCCUAGGCGGUCCGGUAAGUCAGCGGUAAAAUUGCGGGGCUAUACCCUGACGAGCCGUUGAAACUGGCAGACUUGAGUUGGCGAGAAGGACGCGGAAUGCGCGGUGUAGCGGUGAAAUGCAUAGAUAUCGCGCAGAACUCCGAUUGCGAAGGCAGCGUACUGGCGCCAGACUGACGCUGAGGUACGAAAGCGUGGGGAUCGAACAGGAUUAGAUACCCCUGUAGUC
RNAcentral lists this ribosomal RNA (459 nucleotides) under uncultured bacterium. RNAcentral's name for it is "partial 16S ribosomal RNA". It matches the Rfam family "Bacterial small subunit ribosomal RNA", at positions 338 to 795 of the family's 1533-position model. The record is from RNAcentral.